UCUUUCUUCCGUAGGUGAACCUGCGGAAGG
RNAcentral lists this ribosomal RNA (30 nucleotides) under ascomycete sp. MA 4708. RNAcentral's name for it is "18S ribosomal RNA". The record is from RNAcentral. Lineage: Eukaryota; Fungi; Ascomycota.